This 1374-nucleotide long non-coding RNA is filed under the name Ursus maritimus (polar bear). RNAcentral's name for it is "lncRNA (ENSUMAG00000011669.1)". Lineage: Eukaryota; Metazoa; Chordata; Mammalia; Carnivora; Ursidae. The record is from RNAcentral.
CCCAUUCCCCCACCUCCCUCCCCUCUGAAGCCCUCAGUUUAUUUCCCAGAGUCCAUAGUCUCUCAUGGUUCAUUCCCCCUUCUGUUUACCCCCCUCUUUCUUCUUCCCUUUCUUCUCCUACCGAUCUUCCUACUUCUUAUGAUCCAUAAAUGAGUGAAACCAUAUGAUAAUUGUCUUUCUCUGCUUGACUUAUUUCGCUUAGCAUUUAUUUAUUUUUUUAAGUAAACUCUACCCCCAAUGUGGGGCUCAAACACAUGACCCCAAGAUCAAGAGUCACAUGUUCUACCAACUCAGCCAGCCAGAUACCCCUCUCUGUGUUCAUUUUAAAUAACUAACAUGAGUAGACAUUUUUUAUGAGCAAGGAAAGUGCCUACUCACGUCCCAGACAUUUAAUCAAAUGCCAUUAUCCUUUACUAAAAUUUAACUGAUAGCCUAAAAUGUUGCAUUUUUCCUGUAAUUACUGUAUAUUUGUACUUUCUAAACUGAGUUUUUAGUGAGACCAGGGAGACAAAAAGAGGACUGACGUUUAUAGAGUUCCUACAAACUGUUAGGCACUUCAGUUAUGAUCUCAUUGAGUACCUGGCAGCUCUGAGUUAAUUAUUACCCCCAUUUUAUAGUGAAGAAGCUGAGGCUCAGAGAGUUAACCAAGUGAUGUGACUUGUGACGCAGUAAAUGCUGGGAACCAGAUUCGAAGCAAACCUCCGAAGUCCUGAGUGACUCACGGCACACUUCUGGCCCUUCUAUCAGUUAAAUUUGGGUGCCCCAAGAGCUAUGUCUUGUAAUGACUGAAAUACUGUCCUGUCUGAGUCUGUCUUCUUUCAGUAUCCUAACCGGUGGUGAUGUUGAAUCUUUUCAAACAUGAAGCUCUUAACAUCUCAUUGAAAUACUGCUGAUGUCCUAUGGAGAAAAGAUUGCUGUGUUGGGUAUAAAAAGGCCUUAUUAGUCCUAAUGAGCUGUGCAACACCAAGACAGCUGACACCAGGAAGUAAAAGGACAAAGAACCUGAUGAAAAGGAGCCUUGAUCCCAGGCUGGCUGUGUUGUCAGCCUCAGAAACCAUAGAUGUAAAGCUGGCCUGGGGCCUCCAAGCUCUUCAAGACCCAGUUUUCAGCUGCCUGACGGUAGAAAGAGCUCUGCAGCAGUGGGGCGAAUGUAGAAAAGGAGGCUGCCUCCUUCCCUUUCCUGCCCUGUCAACAACUGAGCAGGCAGUUAGCUGGGGGCCUGGAAGGUCCAGGAUUGGAUGGACAGGCACUGCCCUCCCAGACUUGCAGGAGCUCCCAGGACCCCAGGAUCCCAUCGCUGUGUUCCAAUACCGACAGUUGUGGGCAGACCCCAGCUUUAAAAAUGUGAUGCCGAGCACCUGUUGGGCUGCAUGA